UACGAAGGGGGCUAGCGUUGCUCGGAAUCACUGGGCGUAAAGCGCACGUAGGCGGCUUCUUAAGUCAGGGGUGAAAUCCUGGAGCUCAACUCCAGAACUGCCCUUGAUACUGAGGAGCUCGAGUCCGGAAGAGGUGAGUGGAACUGCGAGUGUAGAGGUGAAAUUCGUAGAUAUUCGCAAGAACACCAGUGGCGAAGGCGGCUCACUGGUCCGGUACUGACGCUGAGACACGAAAGCCAGGGGAGCGAACGGG
This 253-nucleotide ribosomal RNA is filed under the name uncultured bacterium. RNAcentral's name for it is "partial 16S ribosomal RNA". It matches the Rfam family "Bacterial small subunit ribosomal RNA", at positions 524 to 776 of the family's 1533-position model. The record is from RNAcentral.